This 1357-nucleotide long non-coding RNA is filed under the name Hermetia illucens (black soldier fly). Its description in RNAcentral is "uncharacterized LOC119652911, transcript variant X2". Lineage: Eukaryota; Metazoa; Arthropoda; Insecta; Diptera; Stratiomyidae. The record is from RNAcentral.
GCAGUAAUGACGGAAAUUUUGGGGUCAAGAAGAGCCCUUGAUUAACGUUGUACAAAUAAAAGGAAUAAAAAAAGGAUCAAGGACAACUGUUACCAUCUAGUUCAUUCAGUAAAGAUGGUCAAAUAAUAUGCAAUAUUAGAUGAACCCAGAAUUUGUUACUUUAAGUAUUGAAUUGUAACUGAUUAAUACUAUCCUGCUCCCUUGUAUGUUUUAAAGAAAUGAGAUAAUGAACUAUUAGUUGGAUGACCUAGACAUCCUUUUCAUUAGAUCGAAUUCUAAGAUAUGAGAGAUAUAUAAACAAGUCGAAAACCGGAAGCUAGGAAUAAUAUGAAAGAUAUUGCAACGGAGAGGACUUUGAGCUCUAGAUAUCAGUGCUUGGUGAAUAGAGUAGUAUUCGACCAUAAAAUAGGUCACUAAUGUAUAUUUUCGUUGUUGCCAGCAAAAAAAAUACUAGGAGAGACAGCCUGAGGAAGGGAAGAAGCUGUUUCUGAAAAACUAAUAUUUCCCGAGCUUCUCGCCGAUAUAUAAUUGAAUUUCAUUAAAAUAGGAUUUGUAUCUACGCAUAUCAAGUGAAGAAUAAUGUUUGCCAUUGGAAACGUAGAACAUCAGUUCCCUAGAAGCGAGCUUUCCUCAGCAUGAAGUGAAGACGAUCGGUCCGCUGGUUACAAACGUCUCUAUUCAAUCCACUGAUCCAUGCAGCAACUGCCAACAAAAUGUAGACAAGAAAAAAUUUAGCAAGAAUAAGUAUCAUCAUCAACAACCAGUAUCCUGACUUGGCCUGCCUUAGUAAGGAAUUCCAUUGUCUUGUGCAGUAAGAGCUUUGAUUCUAUGGUGAGACGUUCCGAGCGAAGGAGUUUUUGUAACCUGAAAGAAUAAGUAUUCUCAACUUUAAGCCAGGAUCAAUGACGUCCAAUCACUCUUUGAUUAGUUUAAAAUAUUGCACAUAAAAUAGAAUCGUACUAAGUAAUUUCAGUAAUGAAUCAUCUGAAAGUAACUAAGCGAUUUAUACAUAAUAUGGCCCCAUCCAAGCUUCUAUAAAUGUGGUAGAAAAUAAGUUGUGAUCAACUUGUUGUUGCGGCAGGAAUUUAAUACCUCACUGUCAAUAGUUACAACAACAAAACAAAAUAACAUAGCGAGCAGGCACACGUCGUAUGACAUCAACGUCCGUAAUCCUCAGGAAUUAAAACAAUUUACUGAAGAUGCCAAAUGAAUUGCUAAAGUAGGCAAAGAAUAUUAACUUGGUAGAUGUAGGUAGAUUUCUUGUGUAAGAAAUUUUAGGCGUAACUUUUCUACCUUAAUAUCUUAAAGGCAAUAUAUUAUGUCUUAGAGUAGAAUGAAUUUGCACGAAAAUCGCAAA